AGAGUUUGAUCCUGGCUCAGAAUGAACGUUGGCGGCGUGGAUUAGGCAUGCAAGUCGAACGGGCCCGGUCGCAAGAUCGGGUCAGUGGCGCAAGGGUGAGUAAGGCGACGGCAACCUACCCCGGGAUUGGGCAUAGCCGCGGGAAACUGCGGGUAAUACCCAGCGAUGUUCGCAGCGGGCAUCCUCUGCGAUCCAAAGUU
This 200-nucleotide ribosomal RNA is filed under the name uncultured bacterium. RNAcentral describes it as "partial 16S ribosomal RNA". It matches the Rfam family "Bacterial small subunit ribosomal RNA", at positions 8 to 208 of the family's 1533-position model. The record is from RNAcentral.